RNAcentral lists this ribosomal RNA (292 nucleotides) under uncultured eukaryote. RNAcentral describes it as "partial 18S ribosomal RNA". It matches the Rfam family "Eukaryotic small subunit ribosomal RNA", at positions 6 to 292 of the family's 1831-position model. The record is from RNAcentral.
GGUUGAUCCUGCCAGUAGUCAUAUGCUUGUCUCAAAGAUUAAGCCAUGCAUGUCUAACAUGUCUAAGUAUAAACAACUUUAUACUGUAAAACUGCGAACGGCUCAUUAUAUCAGCAAUAAUUUAUUUGAUGAUUUCUUACUACAUGGAUAACUGUAGUAAUUCUAGAGCUAAUACAUGCGCAAAGUCCAGGGGAGGGAUGUAUUUAUUAGAUACAAAACCAAUGCGGGUUCUGCUCGCCAUUGUGUUGAAUCAUAGUAACUUAUCGGACGCCAUAGCCUUGUGCUGGGCGUA